This 253-nucleotide ribosomal RNA is filed under the name uncultured bacterium. RNAcentral describes it as "partial 16S ribosomal RNA". It matches the Rfam family "Bacterial small subunit ribosomal RNA", at positions 524 to 776 of the family's 1533-position model. The record is from RNAcentral.
UACGUAGGGGGCAAGCGUUGUCCGGAUUUAUUGGGCGUAAAGAGCGUGUAGGCGGCCAGGUAGGUCAGCUGUGAAAACUCGAGGCUCAACCUCGAGACGUCGGUUGAAACCAUCUGGCUAGAGUCCGUAAGAGGAGAGUGGAAUUCCUGGUGUAGCGGUGAAAUGCGCAGAUAUCAGGAAGAACACCCGUGGCGAAGGCGGCUCUCUGGGACGGUACUGACGCUGAGACGCGAAAGCGUGGGGAGCGAACAGG